GAGGGUGUAGCUCAGUGGUGGAGCCUAUGCCUGGCAUGCACAAGGUCCUGGGUUCAAUCGCCAGUACCUCCA
This 72-nucleotide transfer RNA is filed under the name Camelus bactrianus (Bactrian camel). It matches the Rfam family "tRNA". From Rfam's summary of the family: Transfer RNA (tRNA) molecules are approximately 80 nucleotides in length. Lineage: Eukaryota; Metazoa; Chordata; Mammalia; Artiodactyla; Camelidae. The record is from Rfam by way of RNAcentral. RNAcentral also lists the same sequence under 2 other names.